AGGACGAACGCUGGCGGCGUGCCUAACACAUGCAAGUCGAACGAGGUCCAACCGGUGGCAACACUGGUGAAGACCGAGUGGCGAACGGGUGAGUAACACGUGAGCAACCUGCCUCGAAGACUGGGAUAACCCCGGGAAACCGGAGCUAAUACCGGAUACCCCCACCGGGUCGCAUGGCCUGGUGAGGAAAUGGAUUCCGCUUUGAGAGGGGCUCGCGGCCUAUCAGCUUGAUGGUGGGGUAAUGGCCUACCAUGGCACCGACGGGUAGCUGGUCUGAGAGGACGAUCAGCCACACUGGGACUGAGACACGGCCCAGACUCCUACGGGAGGCAGCAGUGGGGAAUCUUGCGCAAUGGGCGAAAGCCUGACGCAGCAACGCCGCGUGUGGGACGAAGGCCUUCUGGGUUGUAAACCUCUUUCAGCAGGGACGAAGCGAAAGUGACGGUACCUGCAGAAGAAGCACCGGCUAACUACGUGCCAGCAGCCGC
RNAcentral lists this ribosomal RNA (488 nucleotides) under uncultured bacterium. Its description in RNAcentral is "SSU rRNA". It matches the Rfam family "Bacterial small subunit ribosomal RNA", at positions 26 to 518 of the family's 1533-position model. The record is from RNAcentral.